UAGGGAAUCUUCGGCAAUGGACGAAAGUAUGACCGAGCAACGCCGCGUGAGUGAAGAAGGUUUUCGGAUCGUAAAACUCUGUUGUUAGAGAAGAACAAGGACGUUAGUAACUGAACGUCCCCUGACGGUAUCUAACCAGAAAGCCACGGCUAACUACGUGCCAGCAGCCGCGGUAAUACGUAGGUGGCAAGCGUUGUCCGGAUUUAUUGGGCGUAAAGCGAGCGCAGGCGGUUUCUUAAGUCUGAUGUGAAAGCCCCCGGCUCAACCGGGGAGGGUCAUUGGAAACGGGGAGACUUGAGUGCAGAAGAUGAGAGUGGAAUUCCAUGUGUAGCGGUGAAAUGCGUAGAUAUAUGGAGGAACACCAGUGGCGAAGGCGGCUCUCUUGUCUGUAACUGACGCUGAGGCUCGAAAGCGUGGGGAGCAAACAGG
This 429-nucleotide ribosomal RNA is filed under the name Gemmatimonadota bacterium. RNAcentral's name for it is "Gemmatimonadetes bacterium partial 16S ribosomal RNA". It matches the Rfam family "Bacterial small subunit ribosomal RNA", at positions 355 to 776 of the family's 1533-position model. Lineage: Bacteria; Pseudomonadati; Gemmatimonadota. The record is from RNAcentral.